This 443-nucleotide ribosomal RNA is filed under the name uncultured bacterium. RNAcentral's name for it is "partial 16S ribosomal RNA". It matches the Rfam family "Bacterial small subunit ribosomal RNA", at positions 338 to 795 of the family's 1533-position model. The record is from RNAcentral.
CCUACGGGUGGCAGCAGUGGGGAAUAUUGGGCAAUGGGCGCAAGCCUGACCCAGCAACGCCGCGUGAAGGAAGAAGGCUUUCGGGUUGUAAACUCCUUUUCUCAGGGACGAAGAAAGUGACGGUACCUGAGUAAUAAGCCACGUCCUACUACGCACCAGCAGCCGUGGUAAUACGUAGGUUGCAAGCGUUAUCCGGAUUUAUUGGGUGUAAAGGGCUUGUAGGCGGGAGCGCAAGUCAGAUGUGAAAACUGAGGGCUCAACCCUGAGCCUGCAUUUGAAACUGUGGUUCUUGAGUGCUGGAGAGGCAAUCGGAAUUCCGUGUGUAGCGGUGAAAUGCGUAGAUAUACGGAGGAACACCAGUGGCGAAGGCGGAUUGCUGGACAGUAACUGACGCUGAGGCGCGAAAGCGUGGGGAGCAAACAGGAUUAGAUACCCCUGUAGUC